Molecule: ribosomal RNA, 481 nt
Filed under: uncultured bacterium
Lineage: Bacteria
Description: bacterial SSU rRNA
Rfam family: Bacterial small subunit ribosomal RNA
Source: RNAcentral
UGAACGCUAGCGACAGGCUUAACACAUGCAAGUCGAGGGGCAUCGAGAGUAGCAAUACUUGUCGGCGACCGGCGCAAGGGUGCGUAACACGUGAGCAACAUACCCGUUUCAGGAGGAUAACCGGAGGAAACUCUGCCUAAUACUCCAUGACAUCAUCAAACGGCAUCGUUUGAUGAUUAAAGAUUUAUCGGAAACGGCUUGGCUCGCGGGACAUUAGCUCGUUGGUGAGGUAACGGCUCACCAAGUCCACGAUGUCUAGGGGUUCUGAGAGGAAGGUCCCCCACACUGGAACUGAGACACGGUCCAGACUCCUACGGGAGGCAGCAGUGAGGAAUAUUGGACAAUGGUCGGAAGACUGAUCCAGCCAUGCCGCGUGAAGGUUACUGUCCUAUGGAUAUUAAACUUCUUUUGUAUGAGAGCAAUAAGGUGCACGCGUGCACCGAUGAGAGUAUCAUACGAAUAAGCAUCGGCUAACUCCGUG